GACGAACGCUGGCGGCGUGCCUAAUACAUGCAAGUCGUGCGGAGCGGGGACGGGUGAGUAACACGUGGGCAACCUCCUGUAAGACUGGGAUAACGCCGGGAAACCGGGGCUAAACCGGAUCUUACAGAUGGGCCCGCGGCGCAUUAGCUAGUUGGCGGGGUAACGGCCCACCAAGGCAACGAUGCGUACCCGACCUGAGAGGGGGAUCGGCCACAUUGGGACGGAGACACGGCCCAAACUCCUACGGGAGGCAGCAGUAGGGAAUCUUCCGCAAUGGACGAAAGUCUGGCGGAGCAACGCCGCGUGAGUGAAGAAGGCCUUCGGGUCGUAAAACUCUGUUGCCGGGGAAGCGGUACCCGGCCAGAAAGCCACGGCUAACUACGUGCCAGCAGCCGCGGUAAUUC
RNAcentral lists this ribosomal RNA (404 nucleotides) under uncultured bacterium. RNAcentral's name for it is "partial 16S ribosomal RNA". It matches the Rfam family "Bacterial small subunit ribosomal RNA", at positions 28 to 526 of the family's 1533-position model. The record is from RNAcentral.